UUUGGCUUUUCAUUGAAUGCUUCAGCAGGCAUUGUGCAGUCUGAUAGGAAGUUGCUUUCUUGCUGAGUGGUCUUGUGGCUUCCUCUGUUGCAGUUGGUGGAAUGUUGGCCCUCUCUGCUUUGAUACCCAGAUUGUAUAUUAGUCUGUGGUUCAAGGCACUUGUUUUGAAUUGUAUGGUCCACUCUUGUUGCUGGAUCUGGUCUUUCAGUCUGUUGGUUGAUAAAACUUCUUUCUGCAUCUGUUGUCUUGGUAUUCUCAAAAUCUGUUGAAGCCAAAGAGGAUAUGCUUUCUUUUCCUGGAGAUGCCAGGAAAUUUGAUUCCCAUUCUUCCAAGCCUGUUCUCAUGCCCAACCAGGAAUUGGUGGAUGGAGGGAUUGGCCUCUGAUGAUGCGGCAAAUUGGAAGUGAUUGGACUGGCAUAUGCCUUGCUGCCUCCAUCCAGUCCUUGAUUUUGCAGGUUGUACACAGGAUUUUCUGAUUGAGGGAGAUUUUUAUUUGCAGAAGAACUUCCCAUCACUCGACGCUGAUAUUCCUGUAAUGCAGCCAUUCUUUCAGCCUGUUCAAAAAGAUUCAGAGGGCCACAGUUUUUGCCUAAAUGACACACCGAUAUCUGAUCUUCGGCUUCUGAAUUUGAUCCUGAGCUGGAUCUGAUAUCUUCAUUUGCUUGGAAUACAAGGGAUUCAGAAGAACUUUGUGAUGAAAUUACGUCAUCCUCUGCUCUUCUAUUUUGCUUGUCCAUUGCAAAGUUUCUUGUUCCUGUCACAACAUUUCCUGCUCUAUAUUGACACGAUUCACUGGAUGUUACAGAGUUGUGGUUGUACACUGGCUGUCUUAUUGUGCUGUGAUCAUAAGUUAUAGUGCCAUCUGGACAAGUUACUUGAACCUCAUGUUCUUCAACUGACGGGCUAACUUCAUUUUGAUAGCAUGAUUGUCUGAUAAUUGUCGAUUUCAGGGGGAAUUUGGCUGCAAGACACAUGAAAGCAGAACUGCACAAGGGGAAAAUAUACGCAGAGACCAUCAGCUUAGGUAAUCUUGUUCGUCACUCAAAAGUUCUAUUAAAAAUGUUGGCUUUACCUUGAAAGAUGAUCUGAUACAUUCUGUGUGAGAAACACUCCUACCACGGAGUCAACAACUGAUCCUUUCCAUUUGGAGAAUCGUCUAUCACCUGCAAAUGUUACAAUUUCCAAUCAGAUUACGUUUCUAUGAAUCCAUGCAUUUGGUGAGGUAAAGUCAAAGCUUAUUUGCUUCUUUUUGGUUUGGUUCUGAAGUAAAAUGAAUCCCAAUUUACAUAGUUUCAAGAAAUAACACUAGAAUUUAUUAUGGCAUUUACUAAUUUAAGUGUGCUUUCCUAAAACUAAAUAAAAGCAGAAUUAAGACAAAAUAUGCAGAAAAUCAUUUUAGUAAUAAGAGUGGUGAAGUCACAAUAGUGGAUCAUCUCUCAAAUAAUGUUGGUUUAUGUAUUUAUAUUCAAGUGUGAUUUCCUUAAACUAAACAAUUAAGCAGAAUUAAGACGAAAUAUACAGAAUAUCCUUUUAGGAAUAAGAGUGUUGGUAAAGUCACAAUAGAGGAUCAUCUCUCAAAUAAUGUUGGUUUAUGUAUUUUGAUUUAAGUGUGCUUUCCUAAAACUAAACAAUUAAGCAGAAUUAAGACGAAAUAUACAGAAUAUCCUUUUAGGAAUAAGAGUGUUGGUAAAGUCACAAUAGAGGAUCAUCUCUCAAAUAAUGUUGGUUUAUGUAUUUUGAUUUAAGUGUGCUUUCCUAAAACUAAACAAUUAAGCAGAAUUAAGAUGAAUUAUACAGAAUAUCCUUUUAGGAAUAAGAGUGAUGGGAAAGUCACAGUAGAGGAUCAUUUCCCAGAUAAUGUUGGUUUAUGUAUUUAGAUUUGGUUGCAAAUAAGAAACCAAGACUUAAGAGGAUGUGAUGGAUAGGAUUAGGGCGAUUAAAAUAAACUGUAGAAGCACUAUAAGGAUUAUAUAUGAUCGAAUAUAUCCACCAUGUUAAAAUAAAUUUUAUGAACAGAUACCUUACUAGUUAUAUUGUUAAAUAAUAAAAUGUCUAUAACGUAAAUGAGUAUGUUAAGAUGGAUGAGUGGAAAUACAAGAACAGAUCAAACAAAAAAAUUUGAGGUUAUACAUCAAGUGGAUUUGAUACUAUUUGGAGAUAUAUUAAAGGAAGGAUGAUUUAGAUGGUUGGUACAUGGCUUCCAUAGAUCCAUAUAAGCUCUAUUCACAAGAAUGAUGUUAUUUGAGUUUAGCAAGUAGACUAAAGUCAACAAGACAUUUUGUUGCAAAAGAUUUGAGUACAUUGGACCUUUCACGAGAUUCACCACACUGAAGGGAGUGGACAAAACAGAUUCACGUAGCUAGCACAAGUUUAUUGCAAAUACUACUAAGCUUAUUAUUUUUGUUGUUCAUUGUUGUGGCUACAACACGUGAACUGAACCAUGUGAUUAUUUCCAGGUUAUGAUCACUAAAGACAACCAUUCUCUUUCUUCAAAGUCCUAUCUAGAAAGCAAUAGUGGCACCAUUGUGGUUUUGCACUCUCGGACUUCCCCCAUACUCUCCCUUCACACACUCCCCAAAUCACAAUGAUUUUCCAGUUUCUGACAGUUCCACAGGUGGUUCUGGCGUUGUGGGUUCUUCAAUUAUAGGUUCACAGGUACUUAACCCUGUUUCUCUGUCUGAAUUGUCACCUACUGGUGGUAGUGACAUUGGCUUUAUUGUUACACCAGGGUUUUCAUUGGCAGUCGUUCGAGGAGUAGACGCGACAAUGCUUUUCUCUUCUAGCCCAGGGAGGGCAAGUCUUGCGCUGUAUAAAACAAAGUAUAAUUGUCAUAUUUAUGCGUAUUAAUUUCUGAUGUCACAGCCAAAUAAGAUUACGAGGUUAUAGAAGGCUAACCUUGCGAAAGCACUAGCAAAGUGUCGGCACUCUCCUCUCAUUGGGCAUGCAUUACAAUUUGGUUGUUUCUUUGUGCAGAAAACCUGUAUCCAAGAUUAAGAAACUAUCUAUUAUGAACCUCUCAUGUACCGAGGACGAUAAUGAGCUCCAGUGAAGACAUACCUUUCCAAAUGUUAUCAUUUGAUAGUGUAGCUCAUACCUGCAGUUCCAUAAUAUAUAAAUCAGUAGAACUUCUCCAGGUAUGUAUAAAAAUUUCUUCUGAUUAAACUGUCGAUAAUAAGAGAUUUUCGAAUUGAAAUGAGUCACUCUGAGAAAGGAAAUUACAAUGUUUUCUGAUCCAGCUUACAGAGUCUGGGCCAAAGAUAUUUCUGGAUAGAUUCCAGAACUGGGUACCUGCAUGAAACAAAAUUAGAAUCAAGAGUAGCUCAUAAACUUCACUGUUGAUUGCUUGGCAUGUACUUACAAUUCAAGGAGAUGCAAUUGGAGUGCCUCAGGUAGUGGCUGGAGAGGCACCCAUCCAAGUCGCACGGCAAUUCGUCCAACAUUUGUGUCAACCUAAGAAACCACAUAGUUAGGGUAAGACUUCUUCUUUUUUUUUUUUUUUCCUUUUUUUGCUUAUUGAUAUUGGGUAUAAGUUUUCUAUACAGGCAAAUGGCCUUACAGGGAAUGCAAGGUUAUGAAGUGUUAAUAGGCGUACGCACUCCACGCUCUUUAACCCCAGUCCUCGUAUGCUUAGUAGAUAAUCUCUGCAAGGCAUUAUGUACUCAGAGGCAAAGAGUGAAACUUUAGAGAUGGCAGAGAUACUGGAUGACAUGUCCUUGCCUUCCAUUACAUACUUUCCAAAGAUGGGUCAUGAAAGGAUUAAUUUCUUUUAGGAAACUUACUUUGACUUUUCUGGUGGAACGUCUCUCAACCAUUCCAGAUCCAUUCCUCCAUGGUCGUCAACCAGUCGAUUGAGAAAAUCCUAUAGAAUAUCCAACUAGUGUUAUACUCUGUGCUUUAGGUUUUAAUGGACUAUCGGUAGUUUUAUUGGAGUCCGCUUUAUAAACAUUCUACUAACCUUAAUUCUCUCUGCUAGCAUGUUGUUCAUUCCCCUUUCCUUGAUUGUUUCAGAAAUCUCACGAACAUUAGCCUUUCUUAAUGCUUCAUAGUCCAAAGAGUCCAUUGUUUCCUCAGUUCUCUCUCUUUUUCCCACCUCCAAUUGUGCCUGCUUUCUCAACUCAUCCCAAAGACAUGCUUCUCUCUUUUCCUUCUCAACUUUUGUCUUUCUUGCAUUUGAACUUGUGGGACCUGUCCAAUUUGUUGGUUUGGUAGAAGAAUUUACUUGUCCUGCGUCAUGUGGUUUAGAUAUUUUAUUCUUCAAAUGUAGGAAAAUAUCUACAACAAUUUGAACCUGUACAUAAAAAUUUUGUCCAGUAAAGCUAGUGAUGUCAGGGUUUUCAAGGAUAUUACCAUUUGGCUUUUCAUUGAAUGCUUCAGCAGGCAUUGUGCAGUCUGAUAGGAAGUUGCUUUCUUGCUGAGUGGUCUUGUGGCUUCCUCUGUUGCAGUUGGUGGAAUGUUGGCCCUCUCUGCUUUGAUACCCAGAUUGUAUAUUAGUCUGUGGUUCAAGGCACUUGUUUUGAAUUGUAUGGUCCACUCUUGUUGCUGGAUCUGGUCUUUCAGUCUGUUGGUUGAUAAAACUUCUUUCUGCAUCUGUUGUCUUGGUAUUCUCAAAAUCUGUUGAAGCCAAAGAGGAUAUGCUUUCUUUUCCUGGAGAUGCCAGGAAAUUUGAUUCCCAUUCUUCCAAGCCUGUUCUCAUGCCCAACCAGGAAUUGGUGGAUGGAGGGAUUGGCCUCUGAUGAUGCGGCAAAUUGGAAGUGAUUGGACUGGCAUAUGCCUUGCUGCCUCCAUCCAGUCCUUGAUUUUGCAGGUUGUACACAGGAUUUUCUGAUUGAGGGAGAUUUUUAUUUGCAGAAGAACUUCCCAUCACUCGACGCUGAUAUUCCUGUAAUGCAGCCAUUCUUUCAGCCUGUUCAAAAAGAUUCAGAGGGC
RNAcentral lists this long non-coding RNA (4926 nucleotides) under Olea europaea (common olive). Its description in RNAcentral is "long non-coding RNA (OEUR_LNC005083)". Lineage: Eukaryota; Viridiplantae; Streptophyta; Magnoliopsida; Lamiales; Oleaceae. The record is from RNAcentral.